RNAcentral lists this ribosomal RNA (403 nucleotides) under Bacteroidota bacterium. RNAcentral describes it as "Bacteroidetes bacterium partial 16S ribosomal RNA". It matches the Rfam family "Bacterial small subunit ribosomal RNA", at positions 355 to 776 of the family's 1533-position model. RNAcentral also lists the same sequence under 3 other names. The record is from RNAcentral. Lineage: Bacteria; Pseudomonadati; Bacteroidota.
UGGGGAAUCUUGCACAAUGGGGGCAACCCUGAUGCAGCGACGCCGCGUGAGCGAUGAAGGUUUUCGAAUCGUAAAGCUCUGUCCUAUGGGAAGAUAAUGACGGUACCAUAGGAGGAAGCCCCGGCUAACUACGUGCCAGCAGCCGCGGUAAUACGUAGGGGGCGAGCGUUGUCCGGAAUUACUGGGCGUAAAGGGUUCGCAGGCGGCAUGGCAAGUCCGAUGUAAAAGGCGAAGGCUCAACCUUCGUAAGCAUCGGAAACUGUCAAGCUUGAGUGAAGGAGAGGCAAGUGGAAUUCCUAGUGUAGCGGUGGAAUGCGUAGAUAUUAGGAGGAAUACCGGUGGCGAAGGCGACUUGCUGGACUUCAACUGACGCUGAGGAACGAAAGCGUGGGUAGCAAACAGG